RNAcentral lists this long non-coding RNA (5651 nucleotides) under Sus scrofa (pig). RNAcentral describes it as "lncRNA (ENSSSCG00000051403.1)". Lineage: Eukaryota; Metazoa; Chordata; Mammalia; Artiodactyla; Suidae. The record is from RNAcentral.
CAAAUCAAAACUACAAUGAGAUACCACCUCACACCAAUCAGAAGGGUCAUCAUUAAGAUUGCACAUAACACAUGCUGGAGAAGGUGUGGAGAAAAGAGAACCCUCCUACACUGUUGGCAAUGUAAAUUGGUGCAGCCAGUAUGAAGAACAGUAUGGAGCUUCCUCAAAAAACUAAAAUUAGGGUUGCCAGAUAAGACAGCAUUUCUGCUCCUGGGUAUAUACCCAGAUAAGACUAUAACUUGAGAAGAUACAUGCACCCCUAUGUUCAUAGCAGCACUAUUCACAAUAGCCAAGACAUGGAAACAGUCUAAAUGUCCAUUGACAGAUGAAUGGAUAAAGAAGAUGUGAUACAUACAUACAAUGUAAUAUUACUCAGCUAUUAAAAAGAAUGAAAAAAAAAGCCAAUUGCAGCAACAUGGGUAAACCUAGAAAGGGAAAGACAAAUACCAUAUAAUAUCACUUACCUGUGGAAUCUAAAAUAUGACAAAUCAACAUAUCUAUGAGACGAAAACAGACUCUCAGAUAUAGAUAACAGACUUGUCAUUGACAAGGGGGAAAAGGGGUAGAGGAGGGAAAGAUUGGGAGUUUGGGACUAGCAGAGGCAAAGUAGUAUGUAUAGGAUGGAAAAACAACAAGGUCCUAUUGUAUAGCAUAGAGAAUUAUAUUCAAUAUCCUGUGAUAAGCUAUAAUGGAAAAGAAUAUGAAAAAAAUACAUAUAUGGGAGUUCCCAUCGUGGCACAGUGGUUAACGAAUCCGACUGGAACCAUGAGCUUGCGGGUUCGGUCCCUGCCCUUGCCCAGUGGGUUACCGAUCCUGCGUUGCCGUGAGCUGUGGUGUAGGUUGCAGAUGCGGCUCGGAUCCCGCGUUGCUGUGGCUCUGGUGUAGGCUGGUGGCUACAGCUCUGAUUCGACUCCUAGCCUGGGAACCUCCAUAUGCCACGGGAGCGGCACAAAGAAAUAGCAAAAAGACAAAAUAAAUAAAUAAAUAAACUUUUCAUGCAGGAGUGCGCGCACGUGUAUGUGUGUGUGUGUGUGUGAGAGAGAAAUCAAAAAAAAAGAAAAAAAAAGAAUACAUAUAUGUAUGUAUAACUGAAUCACUUUGCUAUGCAUCAAAAAUUAACACAACAUUGUAAAUUAACUAUACUUAAAUAAAAAUUUUUUAAAAUAUGUAAUUUGUGUACCAUCCUUUGCAUAUUGGGUUUAGUAACCCGAGAAUUCAGUAUUUUAUUAGGUAAGGUUCUUUGGGUUGCAGAAAAUGACUUGUACCAGCUUCAAUGAACCCCAAAGCACAAAUGAAUUGCAAAGAUCUGGGUUUGCCCUCGGAGCAAGCAAGAAGCAGGACCAGAAGGCUGUAGCAACAGGGCUCAGCUCCACUCACUCACUAUUUAUAUCUGUAGUUUAAAGACAAGACACUGUUGAGAAUACUAAAGAAAGUCACUUUGGCAUUCCUUCGUGGCUCAGUGGGUUAAGGAUUCAGCAGGGUCAUUGCUGUGGCUCUGGUUACAGCUGUGGCAAGGGUUCAAUCCCUGGCCUGGAAACAUUCUCAUGCCACAGUGCAGUUCCCCUGCCCCCACAAAAAAUCUGAGUUCCCAUCAUGGCUCAGUGGUUAAAGAACCCAACUAGUAUCUAUAAGGAUGUGAGUUUGAUCCCUGGCCUUGCUCAGUGGGUUAAGGAUCUUGUGUUGCCAUGCACUGUGAUAUAGGUCACAGUCAAGGCUCAGAUUCCACAAGGCUGUGGCAUAGGCCAGCAGCUACUGUUCUGAUUUGACACCUAGCCUGGGAACCUUCCUGUGCUCCAAUGCCGCCUUAAAAAGACAAAAGAAAAAAAAAUCCAGAUACUUUAUUUUUUAUUUUAUUUUGGGGGGGUCUUUUUGUUUUUUUAGGGCCACACCUGCAGCAUAUGGAGGUUCCCAGGCUAGGGGUCUAAUCAGAGCUGUAGCCUCCAGCUUAUGCCACAGCCAUAGCAACACCAGAUCAAGCUACGUCUUCAACCUACACCACAGCUCCCAGCAACGCCAGAUCCUUAACCCACUGAGUAAGGCCAGGGAUCGAACUGCAAGGUCAUGGUUCCUAGUUGGAAUCGCUUCUGAUGCGCCACAACGGGAACUCCCCAGAUACUUUAAAAAGAGGAUCUGAUAAGUCUAUCAGGGUUCAUCCUUAAACCAAUCAUCUCUGGCCUCCAGGGCAGUCCUAUACCACUGGCUGAGCUGUUGGCAUUUCCUACAAAGGGAGGAGUGAUUCUGAGCAGGGCAUCCACCCAAGAGGCACUUGCGGCCAUGGGCACUUCUAUUAAUUUCCCUAAAUUUCUUCACAUGAUACAGAUGAAUGAUAUUUCUCAAGUACAACACCUAAUUUUCCCUGGGUUUAAUCCUCAGGAUCACAGAACUAAAUGCUAUAUUAUAGAACCAAAUGCCUGUGAUAUAUGCUUGAAAUGCAUGAAAAUAUACAUAAGCCUAAGAAAGGCAGGAAAGUUCAUCUUUUCUCAUAUAACCUGCAAAAAGAGUUUUGUGACCAUGUAUGUAGAUUCAUAGUCACAUCUCCGUAAAAAGAUUUAUUUUCCUGAUAGGACAGUCUGUGCCAGCACUUUAUAUCCACAAUCUAUAAGCAUCACCAUAACUCGAUGUCAUGUAUUGAAGAGUGUUUCCCAUCAAAAGUCAUGCCCACCUGGAACCUCAGAAUAUGACCUUAUUUGGCAGUAGGGUCUUUGCCGAUAUAAGGAUCAAGAUGAGAUUAUGCUGGAGAAGGAUGGGCCCUAAAUCCAAAGAGAGUGUCUAGACAAGGUACAGAAAAAGACACACUGAAGACACAGAAGAAGAAAAAAAUGAGGCCAAGAUUGGAGAAAUGAACCUGCAAGCCAAGAAAGGCUAAGGAUUGCCUAUGGCUAGGUCCAGGACACACUGUUCCAAAAUAUGGCACCUGGCAGUUGGCACUGUGGAGCAGUGGGUUAAGAAUCUGACUACAGGGAGUUCCCAUUGUGUCUCAGAGAGUUAAGAACCCGAGUAGUAUCCAUGAGGGUGUGGGUUUGAUCCCUGGCCUUGCUCAGCAGGUUAAGCAUCAGGCGUUGCCACAAGCUGCAGCGCAGGUCGCAGAUGUGGCUUGGCUGUGGCAUGGCUGUGGCUGUGGUGUAGGCUGGCAGCUGCAGCUCUGAUUGGACCCCUAGCCUGGAAACUACCAUAUACCACAGGUACAACCCUAAAAAGAAAAAAAAAGAAUCCAACUGCAGCAAGUCAGGUCAUUAAAGAGGUGCAGGUUUGAUCCCCAGCCCAGGGCAGUGGGUUAAAGGAGCUGGCAUUGCUGUUGCAACUCAGAUUCAAUCCCUGGCCCAGAAACUUCCAUAUGCCGUGGGUGUGGCCAUUAAAAAGAAAACAAACACAAAAACAAAAUAUGGCACCUAGGCAUAGGCUGAAGGAGUUUGCAGAAACAGCAGACACAAAAAGUCACGCUGACCUCACCACCAGCAUCACCCUGCCCUUCUCCCCUGAGGCAGAUCAUAAAACUCUCAGUAAGAGAUGCCUUCCCUAUACUCAAAGGGAAGGAACAUCCUUAUCUCCAAAGACCAGGGCUGCCAAGAAUCCAAACGAGCAGGCUUUGCCAAGUUUCCCCCAGCUUUCUGCUCACACCUCCUUCCCCUUGUCCUGUUAUACCUUCCACCCUUCAGCAAACGUGCCAUACAAAUACAUGCGUAAGCAUUUCUUCAGGCCUUCAUUUCCCUGUGAAGGCUCCUGGGUCACAUAAAAUUAGAUUCUAAAUAUAUUUGUAUGCUUUCUGCCUGCGUAUGUCUUUGUCUGUUUAAUUUUCAGACGUAGCCAGGAACAUUAUGAGGGUGGAAGAAAGCGCUCCCCUCAUCUGUGUGGUUUCGCUCUCAGAGCCUCAAGCAAGCCAUCAGCUCUACUGCUAUUCCUCUGGAAACCUUGACUCCAGAUUUCAGGUCUCCUGAAGGGUGAGAACAUGAAUUCUGUGGUUUAAAGGCACCCAGUUUGUGGUAUUUUGUUUUGGAAGCCCUAGCAAAUGAAAACCCUCUACAAGGUAGAUAUCAUUAAGGCGCAGGACCAAUGUUCCAGAGCUACCAGUGACUACUAGUUACCCACCCAAUAGCUAACCUCUCCUUGUUCCUCACCAGCAGAGCAAAGCUUUGUUGGGAUUAAAAACAUCCCCAUUUCCCAGCCCAGGGAUGGUCCAUGAGAAAGAAGCAGAAGUCACUGGGAAGACUCCAAAGAGGAAAUGGAAUUCUUCCUCCUGCCAGUAGGGCAUGUUGUGCCUGGAGCCCCCAAGGCGUGGGGGGGGGGGGGAAUGGACCCGGGGAAGGAGACCAGAGUCUAAGGAGGGUAAACAAAUAGGUGGAAGGAACUUGGGUCCUUGAUGGCUGUAGCGUUGCCAUAUCUGCCCUGACCUCUUUAUCACAGGAUAAUAAUAAAAAUUAAAAUUAUGCCUCGUUGUAUCACUGCUAUCUGGGUGAAACCUAGUCCCAAUUGCCACCACUACAGUGUCAGAAUUAAGGUAUGAGGGAGUUCCUGUUGGGGCUCAGUGGUUUAGAGCCUGACUAGUAUCCAUGAGGAUGUGGGUUCCAUCCUGCUCAGUGGGUUAAGGAUCUGGCCUUGCUAUGACUGUGGUGUAGAUCACAGGCUUGGAUUCCGAGUUGCUGUGGCUGUGGUGUAGGCCAACACUAUAGGGGUGCCCCCCCCCAAAAAAGAAUUAAGAUAUGAAUCUGAACAUACAUGAAGGUAAAAUCUCACAUUUGUUCUCCGAGCCCACUUGCUUUCCUACCGGAAGAUACAGGAGGUCUGGGAACAAGCCCCUGGUUUUGCCGCUACUGCACACAACAACACGAAGCAGGUUUCACUUUUCAUCAGGAAGGUCAGGGAAGCCCCAGCAGGAAGGUGACACCUGAGCCAACACCUGGAAGAGGCAAAGGGUGAGUCUACGUGGAUGACUAGGGUGAAGAGCUUUCCAGGCAAAAGGAAUAACAAAGCACGGGCCCAUGAUGCACCUGCACCUUCCCAUCUAUAAAGUGAGAUGAUCAGACAAAUGACUUUAAACCUUCCUUAGGAAUGUAAUGUGUAUGUGGGAGCAGGUUCAGUGGAAUGACCAGCAGGGAUCUUGCUUGAAAAUACUUCCCACAUGUAAGGAGGUCCCAACACAAAACUUUUAGGCUAGAAUUUCUCUUGGUCCCAUGGAAAGUUUCUAGGUAUAAUGUACAAGAGAAGGAGAGAAAUUGUUCUGGGGUCCAAGAAGUUUUGGAAGCUCUCUUACAAUAGUUAAAAAGGGUUUAUUUACUUUAGGACUUCUCAGAUCCUUUACUAUGCCAAUGGAGACAUGAUUAUCUGAAAGUGAGUUGUAGUUUGCAGACUCUGUGCAACAUAAUCGACCAUGGAAGCCUUUUUUAUGCAAAGCAACUGUUGAGACUAUUCCUUAGAACACACGUUGGGAACAAAUACUCCACACUGGCAGCUGGCAAACUUUUUCUACAAAGAACCAAAUAGUAAAUAUUAUAGGCUCUGGGGGCCAAAUGGUCUGUUGCAAUUAUUUGAUUGUGCCAUUUUGGCUUGAAAGCAGCUACAAACAACACGUAAAUGGAUGGGUGUGGCUGUGUUCUAAUAAAACUUGGUUUAUAGAUACUGGAACUUGGAUUUAAUGCAAUUGUUACAUAUCAUGA